CCUACGGGCGGCAGCAGUGAGGAAUAUUGGUCAAUGGACGAGAGUCUGAACCAGCCAAGUAGCGUGAAGGAUGACUGCCCUAUGGGUUGUAAACUUCUUUUAUAUGGGAAUAAAACGUUCCACGUGUGGGAUUUUGUAUGUACCAUAUGAAUAAGGAUCGGCUAACUCCGUGCCAGCAGCCGCGGUAAUACGGAGGAUCCGAGCGUUAUCCGGAUUUAUUGGGUUUAAAGGGAGCGUAUGUGGAUUGUUAAGUCAGUUGUGAAAGUUUGCGGCUCAACCGUAAAAUUGCAGUUGAAACUGGCAGUCUUGAGUACAGUAGAGGUGGGCGGAAUUCGUGGUGUAGCGGUGAAAUGCUUAGAUAUCACGAAGAACUCCGAUUGCGAAGGCAGUUCACUGGACUGCAACUGACACUGAGGCUCGAAAGUGUGGGUAUCAAACAGGAUUAGAUACCCCGGUAGUC
RNAcentral lists this ribosomal RNA (460 nucleotides) under uncultured bacterium. RNAcentral's name for it is "partial 16S ribosomal RNA". It matches the Rfam family "Bacterial small subunit ribosomal RNA", at positions 338 to 795 of the family's 1533-position model. The record is from RNAcentral.